This is a long non-coding RNA of Salmo salar (Atlantic salmon), 2061 nucleotides long. RefSeq lists it as uncharacterized. The record is from RefSeq and is a predicted model, not a curated record. NCBI's taxonomy places the organism in Eukaryota, Metazoa, Chordata, Actinopteri, Salmoniformes, Salmonidae.
CUUAAAGACAAAAAAGCAUAUCUUUGUUUUCAUUAAUUUGUACGAUAUAGCCGGUUUUUACUGUGGCCUGCCAGUCAGCUGUUGAAUUCACCGCAAGGCCAAGCUUGAGACUCAACACAAACAAGGGAAUCCAUGGGAGAAUAUCAUGAGUUAAUUCAAGUCUUUAUUUUACUUUGUGUCCUACUCGAACAACUAUCAGGCUAACAAAUAUAUGUUAUGCAUAUAACAUAUAUAAACGCAUAUAUUGUGCUUUUAAUGUUAUGCAUAUUAUUUAUCCACACGAGAAAGAAACUAGUUAAAUUACUUAGUGGGAACUAAAUAAGAUCGGUGCCUGCAGGGUGGGGGAUCAAAACACCCAAUUUUCUUCUUGAAAGUCCACUUUCAACCUUAUAUGCCUAGGCUACUCCAGCACCAUUCAUGCAUACAUUUGUAAUGCUAUACUUGUAGGAUAAUGUGACCUGUUGGUCAAUGUUAUUCAACCAUGCUUGUUUUCUUAGAGCAGGUCACACAGACCCUGUCGUUUUCCACACUGCCCUUCUGUAUCUAGAGAUACAGUACUUUAUUUCUAUCAAGCUAUGAGCAUAUAGGUGGCGUACUUGAUCUUGUGGAUAGCCUUUCUCUUGGUCCAAGUCAGAGAUAAGUCUUAGCAAAGCCAUAUGUUGCCUCUUUGAAAGGAACAUGAACAGCUUUUUCUCAGAUCAAUACUCUGACACGUAAAAUAGAUCAAGAAGACUAUGGAACGCCGUUUGGGUCUUAAAGCACGUGGUCAAAACGCGAUCUUUUUUAUGCUACGUGUGUAAAGUAAACCGGUGCAGGCGCUAAAUUAACGCGUGCACAUGUUAAAUUAAUGUCUUCACGCGCUAAAUUGAUGCCUACACGCGUCAAAUAAGCGCGUGCAAAUGUGCUUGCAGGCGGUUCAACAUGCACUAAAUAAACGGCUGCAAGCGGUUCUGCACACUUCAAGUUAACACCUACACUAAUUUAACGCGUUCCUUAAUGUGCUAAUUUUACUAGCCAAUUUCCCUAGCUCCUCCUUUCUACCAGAUUUCAGUUUGAAGGAACUUCCUUUUCCACUGCAAGCAGAGUUUGAACCUUUACAAGGAAGACAAGCUACCUAAAUGUGACUUAUCGGCUAGUACUGAUAAAGCAGCAGAGAAGACCUGAUUCACCAAGUAUCAAUUCAUUUUGGUGAUUCUCACCUGGUUGGCAUGCUGCAUGCACAAGACACUUCAAUCUGACUCUUGUUUGACAUCAGGCAAAACGUCUUCAGCCACCGUAGGACGGAGACCCGCUGGUUGGCAUUUGACUGCAGUGUCUGUGGGUGUACCAGGAAAGGACGUUAGAAGUUAGGGCCCCAUGAUAUUGAAGCUUCUUACCGUCUCCACUGCAGCCCAGUCGAUAUAGAUUUUAAAAAAAUUAAAAAACUGGAACAAUAGAUUGUGCUACACUAUGUACAACUCCAGUUUGCCUAUUGUCCCAACAAAUGUAAAUUAUACAUCAGUGCAUUUUCUUUCAUAGCUCUGCUUUCACCGCCAUCCUUACCCACAAACUGGUUAGCAGGCUCUGGUUGUAAAUCCUGUAAUAACUAAUUUGAUUUUUUUACAUUAUAAGAAUGUGUAUCCCAGAAUGGACCCAACACUACCAUGGCACACAUGAGUACAUGAAGGAGCUGUGGGACCUGACAAGUCUCAGCAUAAGAAAAACAAAGUAGAUGGUGAUACUUGACCAUUCUCCCAUCUACUGUACAUUGACAUGGAGAUGAUCAGCAGCUUCAAGUUCCUGGGCACCCUGAUAUCCUUUUCUGCCCUCAGUUACUCCACUCAAAGUCUCACUUGUGCUUCCACUACCCUCAAACUUACUGCACCAUGACCUAUGUACCAACUACGGUGUCUUAUUGCCAUAACACAUGUAAAUGAAAUGUCCAUAUUUACUGUAAGAUUUAUGGUAACAUUGCACAUAUUGUAACAUAGUCCCUUGACAUACAUGACUUAACUACUUUGCAUAAUGCUCAGUUUACCCACUAAGAAAUCAUACAUUUAAAUAUUAAAGCUGCAUUAUGUA